Molecule: long non-coding RNA, 633 nt
Filed under: Elaeis guineensis (African oil palm)
Lineage: Eukaryota; Viridiplantae; Streptophyta; Magnoliopsida; Arecales; Arecaceae
Description: long non-coding RNA (EGUI_LNC011850)
Source: RNAcentral
GACCGCUUUAAGAUUCAUGUGGCUCGUCCAAUUGGAUCAGAUUAUUAUAAUUCAGAUUUUCGUUCCGAUUCUGUUACGAACCGAAUACUUCAGGGGAUAUGAUUAUUUCAAUUUCAGUUCCAAUUUGUUCCUUUUCUGAUCCAAUUCUAAUUACAACUGAAACACCCUCUUAAAGCACUUCAGGUUAUCUUAUAGCCACGAGAGAAUGUUAAAAAUAAGUCAGUAUGAGCAUUAGCGGUUCUAGAUGGCCACCAUGGCCAUGAAUGGACAUUGUGUUGCUAAACGAAUCUUGCGGCAGUUGGGCAGGCCUUGACGCCUUUAACCAUGAGAAGCUUCUGGAAUCUAUGGGAGUGCUGGUCUACUAUAACAGUGCGCGUAGAGCUCCACUCACAGCCGUCCUACCGUAUCUUAUUCCACAAUCCUAUCCAUGCCUACUUUAAUAAACUUCCAACCGCAGCAAGUUCCGGCUUUCAACCGAACAAAUCCAUCUAACACAACACUUUAUACUGUCGGGAAUUUUAUACGUGGAUCAAGCAAUGGCAUGGUGACUUGUCCAUGCUUCUGCUCAAAGAUUUGCUGAGGGACUUGAUACAAUGACCCAGUAAGAGACUCCUCUCAUAGAGGACCCAUAAG